RNAcentral lists this ribosomal RNA (253 nucleotides) under uncultured bacterium. RNAcentral describes it as "partial 16S ribosomal RNA". It matches the Rfam family "Bacterial small subunit ribosomal RNA", at positions 524 to 776 of the family's 1533-position model. The record is from RNAcentral.
UACGUAGGUGGCAAGCGUUGUCCGGAUUUACUGGGCGUAAAGGGCGUGCAGGCGGUCUGUUAAGUCUAGGGUGAAAGCUCCCGGCUCAACUGGGAGAGGUCCUUGGAUACUGGCGGGCUUGAGGGAGGUAGAGGAAAGUGGAAUUCCCGGUGUAGUGGUGAUAUGCGUAGAUAUUGGGAGGAACACCAGUGGCGAAGGCGGCUACCUGGACCGGUUCUGACGCUGAGGCGCGAAAGCGUGGGUAGCAAACAGG